AUUGAACGCUGGCGGCAUGCCUUACACAUGCAAGACGAACGGCAGCACGGGGCAACCUGGUGGCGAGUGGCGAACGGGUGAGUAAUGCAUCGGAACGUGCCAUUGAGUGGGGGAUAACGUAGCGAAAGUUGCGUUAAUACCGCAUAUUCUGUGAGCAGGAAAGCAGGGGACCGCAAGGCCUUGCGCUCUUUGAGCGGCCGAUGUCAGAUUAGCUAGUUGGUGAGGUAACGGCUUACCAAGGCGACGAUCUGUAGCGGGUCUGAGAGGAUGAUCCGCCACACUGGAACUGAGACACGGUCCAGACUCCUACGGGAGGCAGCAGUGGGGAAUUUUGGACAAUGGGCGCAAGCCUGAUCCAGCCAUGCCGCGUGAGUGAAGAAGGCCUUCGGGUUG
Molecule: ribosomal RNA, 393 nt
Filed under: uncultured bacterium
Lineage: Bacteria
Description: bacterial SSU rRNA
Rfam family: Bacterial small subunit ribosomal RNA
Source: RNAcentral